CAGUCGCCGCGGUAAUACGGAGGGGGCUAGCGUUGUUCGGAAUUACUGGGCGUAAAGCGCUCGUAGGCGGCUUGGUAAGUUAGAGGUGAAAGCCUGGAGCUCAACUCCAGAAUUGCCUUUAAGACUGCCGAGCUAGCAGGUGAGAGAGGUAAGUGGAAUUCCGAGUGUAGGGGUGAAAUUCGUAGAUAUUCGGAAGAACACCAGUGGCGAAGGCGGCUUACUGGCUCAUACUGGACGCUGAGGUGCGAAAGCGUGGGGAGCAAACAGGAUUAGAUACCCCGGUAGUCCCUGUCUCUUAUAC
This 301-nucleotide ribosomal RNA is filed under the name uncultured bacterium. RNAcentral describes it as "partial 16S ribosomal RNA". It matches the Rfam family "Bacterial small subunit ribosomal RNA", at positions 509 to 807 of the family's 1533-position model. The record is from RNAcentral.